Molecule: ribosomal RNA, 253 nt
Filed under: uncultured bacterium
Lineage: Bacteria
Description: partial 16S ribosomal RNA
Rfam family: Bacterial small subunit ribosomal RNA
Source: RNAcentral
UACGUAGGGUGCAAGCGUUAAUCGGAAUUACUGGGCGUAAAGCGUGCGCAUGCGGUAAUGUAAGACAGAUGUGAAAUCCCCGGGCUCAACCUGGGAACUGCAUUUGUGACUGCAUUGCUGGAGUGCGGCAGAGGGGGAUGGAAUUCCGCGUGUAGCAGUGAAAUGCGUAGAUAUGCGGAGGAACACCGAUGGCGAAGGCAAUCCCCUGGGCCUGCACUGACGCUCAUGCACGAAAGCGUGGGGAGCAAACAGG